GGUGCACGUGCAACGGAGACACCGCCCCUAAACCUGGGGCCCUGAGGCUAACAGCUAACAGUGGCCCUGCCGUUACGGCCAGUGUCAGGUGCCAGCUGGGCUGGACCAGGAAUUCCCAGAAACCUGGCAAGGCAUGAUUUGGGGUGGGUCGUGCUGAGGGCCACACCAUCCGCUUCCCCGCUUCUGAGGCCUUCCGACCUGGGCUGAGCCCGGCUACCCGAGUCCCGGGGUCUCCGGCUCACAGACUUCUCGGCCUCCGUAAUUGCAAACGCCAGCUCCCCCAGUCCAUCUCCUGUCCUGGAUCUACGUCUAUAUCCUACUGGAUCCGUCUCUCUGGAGAACCCUAAUACAGCUGUCAACACAAGGAUGAACUAACUACAAGAAGGCCUGAAUAGGAACUCUCCCAGGGGACGAAGAGGUUUCAGCCUUCAGCAAAGGAUGGUUCAUAGAAACCGUUCGCAUAGUCGGCCCUCCACGGACUGCAACCCUAGUUAAUAUUACCUACAGUAAACAAAAAAUUCAAGUAUAGAUUUUAGUCUAAAGCAAAUAGGAAAUGUCGCUUCCCUGGACGUUGGGAGAAGCAAACACGAAUCCUCUCCUGAGGCCGGAAGCGGUGGCUCACGCCUGUAAUCCCAGCACUUUGGGAGGCUGAGGCGGGCGGAUCAUUUUAUAACUAUCUAUUAAAUGUUUAAGUUUUCAGUCCAUUUUUCCUGUCUACAUGGAAUUGCCGACUGCACAAAGAACACAUGAGGGCUCUCUCAAGGCCAUCAUUUCCGCGGAGUCCCAUUUCCUGACUCAAAUGACAAGCUCUCAACUUUCUACUCAAGAUCAUUGAAACAUCUGUGUUGAUUAUUUGUAACCGGGAUAUGCUUUAUUUAUUAGAUAAGAGACUAACC
This is a long non-coding RNA of Homo sapiens (human), 896 nucleotides long. RefSeq lists it as uncharacterized. NCBI's taxonomy places the organism in Eukaryota, Metazoa, Chordata, Mammalia, Primates, Hominidae. The transcript has 2 exons. The record is from RefSeq and is marked validated.